GCAAGUCGAGCGCGCCCUUCGGGGUGAGCGGCGGACGGGUGAGUAACGCGUGGGAACAUACCCUUCACUAAGGAAUAGCCAUUGGAAACGAUGAGUAAUACCUUAUACGCCCUUCGGGGGAAAGAUUUAUCGGUGAAGGAUUGGCCCGCGUAAGAUUAGAUAGUUGGUGGGGUAAUGGCCUACCAAGUCUACGAUCUAUAGCUGGUUUGAGAGGAUGAUC
RNAcentral lists this ribosomal RNA (220 nucleotides) under uncultured bacterium. RNAcentral describes it as "partial 16S ribosomal RNA". It matches the Rfam family "Bacterial small subunit ribosomal RNA", at positions 57 to 305 of the family's 1533-position model. The record is from RNAcentral.